GACGAACGCUGGCGGCGUGCUUAACACAUGCAAGUCGAACGGAAAGGCCUGCUUUCCCUUGUGGAUUGCGGGUACUCGAGUGGCGAACGGGUGAGUAACACGUGAGUGAUCUGCCCCCAACUUGGGUAUAAGCCUGGGAAACUGGGUCUAAUUCCCGAUAGGACUGCAGGGUGGUGCCUGUGGUGGAAAACGAUUUUCUAGUGGUUGGGGAUGAGCUCGCGGCCUAUCAGCUUGUUGGUGGGGUAAUGGCCUACCAAGGCGGCGACGGGUAGCCGGCCUGAGAGGGUGGACGGCCACAUUGGGACUGCGAUACGGCCCAGACUCCUACGGGAGGCAGCAGUGGGGAAUAUUGCACAAUGGGCGGAAGCCUGAUGCAGCGACGCCGCGUGGGGGAUGACGGCCUUCGGGUUGUAAACUCCUUUCGACCGCGAGGAAGCCACCUGGUUGGAAGGGUGGUGACGGUAGUGGUAGAAGAAGCACCGGCUAACUACGUG
Molecule: ribosomal RNA, 494 nt
Filed under: uncultured bacterium
Lineage: Bacteria
Description: partial 16S ribosomal RNA
Rfam family: Bacterial small subunit ribosomal RNA
Source: RNAcentral